GGCCUUUUGAUUAUAAUUUAAGGUCGGGCCUGCCCAAUGAAAAUUUUAAUGGCCGCGGUAUAUUAACUGUGCAAAGGUAGCAUAAUCAUUAGUUUUUUAAUUGAAAGCUGGAAUGAAGGGUUUAAUGAAAAAAGUUCUGUCUCUAUUUAAAUUUAUUAGAAUUUUAUUUUUAAGUUAAAAAGCUUAAAUAAUUAUUGAAGACGAGAAGACCCUAUAGAGUUUUAUAUUUAUAAAAAUUACUGUAUUUGGUAAAUUUUAACUUAAUUUUUGAAAAUAUUUAGUUGGGGUGAUUGAAAAAUUGAACGAACUUUUUCUUUUUAGAACAUAAAUUUAUGGGCAGAUGAUCCUUUUUUUAGAUUAAAAGAGCAAAUUACCUUAGGGAUAACAGCGUAAUUUUUUUUAGAGUUCUUAUCAAAAAAAAAGAUUGCGACCUCGAUGUUGGAUUAAAAUAAGUUCUUGGUGCAGAAGCUAAAGAACUGGGUCUGUUCGACCUUUGAAUUUUUACAUGAUCUGAGUUUAGACCGGUUUGAG
Molecule: ribosomal RNA, 531 nt
Filed under: Madeiracalles terminalis tolpis
Lineage: Eukaryota; Metazoa; Arthropoda; Insecta; Coleoptera; Curculionidae
Description: partial 16S ribosomal RNA
Rfam family: Bacterial large subunit ribosomal RNA
Source: RNAcentral